GAUGAAGAACGUAGCGAAAUGCGAUAAGUAAUGCGAAUUGCAGAAUUCAGCGAGUCAUCGAGUCUUUGAACGCACAUUGCGCCCCCUGGUAUUCCGGGGGGCAUGCCUGUCCGAGCGUCAUUGCUGCCCUCAAGCACGGCUUGUGUGUUGGGCCUCCGUCCUCCUCCCGGGGGACGGGCCCGAAAGGCAGCGGCGGCACCGCGUCCGGUCCUCGAGCGUAUGGGGCUUCGUCACCCGCUCUUGUAGGCCCGGUCGGCGCUUGCCGACACAUCAAUCUUUUUUCCAGGUUGACCUCGGAUCAGGUAGGGAUACCCGCUGAACUUAAGCAUAUCAAUAAGCGGAGGA
Molecule: unclassified non-coding RNA, 345 nt
Filed under: soil metagenome
Description: partial contains 5.8S ribosomal RNA, internal transcribed spacer 2, and large subunit ribosomal RNA
Rfam family: 5.8S ribosomal RNA (bases 1-120)
Source: RNAcentral